GAUGAACGCUAGCGGCAGGCUUAAUACAUGCAAGUCGAGGGGCAGCACGGGUAGCAAUACCUGGUGGCGACCGGCAAACGGGUGCGGAACACGUACAGAACCUUCCUUUAAGCGGGGGAUAGCCCAGGGAAACCUGGAUUAAUACCCCAUAGUAAUAUUGAUUGGCAUCAAUUGGUAUUUAAAGAUUUAUCACUUAAAGAUGGCUGUGCGUAUGAUUAGGUAGUUGGUGUAGGUAACGGCUCACCAGCCUUCGAUCAUUAACUGGUGUGAGAGCACGACCAGUCAC
RNAcentral lists this ribosomal RNA (286 nucleotides) under uncultured bacterium. Its description in RNAcentral is "partial 16S ribosomal RNA". It matches the Rfam family "Bacterial small subunit ribosomal RNA", at positions 28 to 311 of the family's 1533-position model. The record is from RNAcentral.